RNAcentral lists this ribosomal RNA (253 nucleotides) under uncultured bacterium. Its description in RNAcentral is "partial 16S ribosomal RNA". It matches the Rfam family "Bacterial small subunit ribosomal RNA", at positions 524 to 776 of the family's 1533-position model. The record is from RNAcentral.
UACGUAGGGGGCUAGCGUUGUCCGGAUUUAUUGGGCGUAAAGAGCGUGUAGGCGGCCAGGUAGGUCUGGUGUGAAAACUCGAGGCUUAACCUCGAGAUGUCAUCGGAAACCAUUUGGCUAGAGUCCGGAAGAGGAGAGUGGAAUUCCUGGUGUAGCGGUGAAAUGCGCAGAUAUCAGGAAGAACACCAAUGGCGAAAGCAGCUCUCUGGGACGGUACUGACGCUGAGACUCGAAAGCGUGGGGAGCGAACAGG